ACCGGGUCCGGACACACUGAGGAUUGACAGGCAAUAUUAAUACUUUGCUUCGGCAUUGUAUUAUGUUAAAUAUGCUAGUCCUUUCAUGAUUAUGUGAUAGGUGGUGCAUGGCCGUUCUUAGUUCGUGGAGUGAUCUGUCUGCUUAAUUGCGUUUCACUAAGGGCCUAUAAAUUUACGUAUGUUGUAUCGCACUUUGACCCCUUUCUUUAAUUAGAAAGCGCGUGUCUUAGUUUCGCUUUGCUCAUACAAUUAGGUCCUGAAAGCAACGAACGUGACCGCAACCUCUUGUUGCCUUUAUACCAAACAUGUUUAUUCAUUUUUUAAUGUUCAUUCAUGAAAAAAGGCUUUUUAAACUAGAGGGACCGCUGUUACUUUCUUAAACCAGAGGAAGGUUGCGGCAAUAACAGGUCUGUGAUGCCCUUAGAUGUUCCGGGCUGCACACGUGCUACAAUGAUUAUUGCAGUGAGCAUCUCAUUUUUACACACCGCAUGCGCGAGUCCAUUUAUUCACCUUCGGGUGUUUUAAAUGUGUACCUCUGCGCGCGGUAAAGCCUGCUUCGAAAGUAAGUGGGUAAUCAAUUAGAAGUAAUGAUUUCCUUUUUUAGCACACAUAUAUACGGCGUCUAUGCCCGGGUUACCUUGUUGUAGCUUUUGUGUGUAUAGAUGUUUUUUCCGUAUGUGCGAUUGUCAAUUCAUGGUGGGGACAGACCAUUGUUAAUUGUUGGUCUCGGUCUUAACUAGGAAUGCCUUGUACGGGUCUUUGGUUCAACAAACCACCCGGAAUACGUCCCUGCCCUUUGUACACACCGCCCGUCGCUCUUACCGAUGGACUUCUCUGUGAGUUUGAGGGACUGGGAACGCAGGAAUUUAUUUCUGCACACCUAUGGAAACUUAAACGAACAGUGUGGUCUAAAGGAAAGAGAAGUCGUAACAAGGCAUCGGUAGGUGAACCUGCA
This 955-nucleotide ribosomal RNA is filed under the name Cibicides wuellerstorfi. Its description in RNAcentral is "SSU rRNA". It matches the Rfam family "Eukaryotic small subunit ribosomal RNA", at positions 1217 to 1819 of the family's 1831-position model. The record is from RNAcentral. Lineage: Eukaryota; Foraminifera; Rotaliida; Cibicididae.